UAGAUACCCUAUUAUUUUGGAUUUAAAAGUUUAAACUUGAGUAGUAUUAGUUAUGAUCUUGAAACUUAAAGAAUUUGGCGGUAUUUUAGUCUAGUUAGAGGAAUCUGUCCCGUUAUCGAUAAUCCGCGUUGAACCUUACUUAAUAAAAUUUAAUAUGUAUACCGCCGUUUAUUUGAAAAUCUUUUUAGGGUUAAAUUUUCUUUAAAUUUUAAUUAAUUUUAUUUCAGGUCAAGGUGCAGUUGAUAAUUAAGUGGUGAUGGAUUACAUUAUUAGUGAAAUAAACGAAUUGAAGUUUGAAAAUGGUUUAUGAAGGAGGAUUUAAUAGUAAUUAUUAAUAAGAAUUAUUGUUGUGAUUGUAGCUCUAAAAUGUGUACACAUCGCCCGUCACUCUCGUUAUUAAGAUGAGAUAAGUC
This 413-nucleotide ribosomal RNA is filed under the name Panesthia tryoni tryoni. Its description in RNAcentral is "partial 12S ribosomal RNA". The record is from RNAcentral. Lineage: Eukaryota; Metazoa; Arthropoda; Insecta; Blattodea; Blaberidae.